GAAAUGCGAUAAGUAAUGUGAAUUGCAGAAUUCCGUGAAUCAUCGAAUCUUUGAACGCACAUUGCGCCCUCUGGUAUUCCGGGGGGCAUGCCUGUCCGAGCGUCAUUGCGACCCCCUCAAGCACGGCUUGUGUGAUGGGCCCUCCCGCGUCUUGGUCGUCAAGACGGGCCCGAAAUGCAGUGGCGGCUUCGCGGUUAUCCGAUCAGCCAGAGCGUAUGGGGACUUUCUCUCUGUCACACGCCCGCGGCGCGGACCGACGCCUGUCGACCUUCAUUCAUCGUUUUCUCGGUUGACCUCGGAUCAGGUAGGGAUACCCGCUGAACUUAAGC
This 329-nucleotide unclassified non-coding RNA is filed under the name plant metagenome. RNAcentral describes it as "partial contains 5.8S ribosomal RNA, internal transcribed spacer 2, and large subunit ribosomal RNA". The stretch from base 1 to 105 matches the Rfam family "5.8S ribosomal RNA", at positions 50 to 154 of the family's 154-position model. The record is from RNAcentral.